Aedes albopictus (Asian tiger mosquito) is the source of this 118-nucleotide non-coding RNA. Lineage: Eukaryota; Metazoa; Arthropoda; Insecta; Diptera; Culicidae. The record is from Rfam.
UGCCCAGCAACUCCUAUCCCUACCUCCACGCGGCACCGGCCGGAAACUAUGAGCAACCUUAGGGAAGAUCGGGUAACCAACCCCGGUGGGAACUUUGGUCGUAGGCUGACAGGGAAGG